This 1671-nucleotide ribosomal RNA is filed under the name human gut metagenome. Its description in RNAcentral is "bacterial LSU rRNA". It matches the Rfam family "Bacterial large subunit ribosomal RNA", at positions 1170 to 2925 of the family's 2925-position model. The record is from RNAcentral.
AUUUAACGGGGCUAAACCUGACACCGAAGCUUAGGCAAUACAGCAAUGUAUUGGGUAGGGGAGCGUUGUAUACGCGGAGAAACAGUAGCGUAAGCGGCUGUGGAGUGUAUAGAAGUGAGAAUGCCGGAAUGAGUAGCGCGAAUGCAGUGAGAAUCUGCAUGGCCGAAAGCCUCAGGUUUCUGGAGGAAGGUUCGUCCGCUCCAGGUUAGUCGGGAGCUAAGGUGAGGCCGGAAGGCGUAGCCGAUGCACAGACGGUAGAGAUUCCGUCACCACCAAAAGAGUUAAGCACAGGGACACAUAUGAAGUCUCAGAGCCGGGUGUUGGUUCCGGUAGAGAUCGAGGGAAAUUAGUACCGAAGUCUGAGAUGGAAGAUGGCGAGAAAAGCUGUGUGUAUUUCUGAGGUGCCCGUACCGCAAACCGACACAGGUAGGUAGGAAGAAGAUUCUAAGGCCAACGGGAGAAGGGUUGUUAAGGAACUCGGCAAAUUGACCCCGUAACUUCGGGAGAAGGGGUGCUCCAGAGAUGGAGCCGCAGAGAAUCGGCCCAAGCAACUGUUUACCAAAAACACAGGUUUGUGCUAAAUCGAAAGAUGACGUAUACGAGCUGACGCCUGCCCGGUGCUGGAAGGUUAAGAGGAGAUGUGCAAGCAUUGAAUCGAAGCCCCAGUGAACGGCGGCCGUAACUAUAACGGUCCUAAGGUAGCGAAAUUCCUUGUCAGGUAAGUUCUGACCCGCAUGAAAGGCGUAAUGAUUUGGGCACUGUCUCAACAGCCCGCCCGGCGAAAUUGUAGUACCGGUGAAGAUGCCGGUUACCCGCGACAAGACGGAAAGACCCCAUGGAGCUUUACUGUAGCCUAAUAUUGGGUUUCGAUGUUGCAUGCACAGGAUAGAUGGGACACUGGGAAGCAGGUGCUUUGGCGCUUGUGGAGUGGCCGUUGGGAUACCAUCCUUGCGAUAUUGGAAUUCUAACCUGCGCCUUUGAAUCAAGGCGGGGGACAUUGUUAGGUGGGCAGUUUGACUGGGGCGGUCGCCUCCUAAAGAGUAACGGAGGCGUUCAAAGGUUCGCUCAGCUUGAACGGAAAUCAAGCAAAAGAGUGCAAACGCAGAAGCGAGCCUAACUGCGAGACUGACGGGUCGAGCAGUAACGAAAGUUGGAGUUAGUGAUCCGGUGGUAUGUGAGUGGAAAUGCCAUCGCUCAACGGAUAAAAGUUACCCUGGGGAUAACAGGCUGAUCUCCCCCAAGAGUCCACAUCGACGGGGAGGUUUGGCACCUCGAUGUCGGCUCAUCGCAUCCUGGGGCUGUAUUCGGUCCCAAGGGUUUGGCUGUUCGCCAAUUAAAGCGGUACGCGAGCUGGGUUCAGAACGUCGUGAGACAGUUCGGUCCCUAUCUGUCGUGGGCGCAGGAUAUUUGAUGGGAGCUGUUCCUAGUACGAGAGGACCGGAGCGGACGUACCUCUGGCGCACCAGUUGUUCUGCCAAGAGCAUAGCUGGGCAACUAUGUACGGAUCGGAUAAACGCUGAAAGCAUCUAAGCGUGAAGCCGACCCAAAGAUAAGAUAUCCCAUUGUUUCAAACAAGUAAGACCCCUUGAAGACUACAAGGUUGAUAGGCACGAUGUGUAAGUGGAGCGAUCCAUUCAGCAAGCGUGUACUAAUAGGUCGAGGGCUUGACCA